This is a long non-coding RNA of Alosa alosa (allis shad), 237 nucleotides long. RefSeq lists it as uncharacterized. Lineage: Eukaryota; Metazoa; Chordata; Actinopteri; Clupeiformes; Clupeidae. The record is from RefSeq and is a predicted model, not a curated record. The transcript has 3 exons.
CUUACCUCGGGAACUCAAAAUCUAGUUACCGAACUUUUCGAAAAUCUGAAGAAUCUUUCAUCGCCACUUCAUGUCUCUUUGUGGUUUUGAUGACUAAAUGUUUUGAUUCCUUUCCAACACACCUGAUCAAUCAUGGCCUCACCCUGAUUCUGUGCUCACCACCACACCUUACAGAGAUCCACCAUGCUGCUGCUAUAGGAGUCUCCUGUUGAGUGCACACCCCACCCCCCACCCCCC